AUGCAAGAUACUGGCUUUAAAGGAAAAUAUAUGGGGAAAAAUACAUUGAAGUACAAAGGUCAAGAUGGAACACAUGGUGAAUCUUCUCCAAAGAAUAAAAGGAAGACUUCUGAAGAUAUCAUAUUAAUUUAUCCUGCUGGAGACCAGAAUACAUAUGAAGAAAUAUCUGGAAAUACAUCAGCUGCUGCUCAUCAGAAUCAAAAUCGUCCAGAGAAUUUUAUGAAAAAAUCCUCAACUUCUGUUGUUCAGGCAAAUGUGCAGGAUAAUGGUAUAAAUCAAAAGAGAGAUGGGAUGAUAUCUAAAAACUCAAGUAUUGUCGAUGAUAGAGGAGAUACAAACAUUUCAGGCCAAGGUUCAAUUAUUUCAGCUCAAGUGUCACCCACAAGAAAUUUAUCCAUACUUUCACAGGCAUGUUUGGAUCCUUUAAAAGAAGAGGAGACAAAUGCUAAUCGUAAUGGAAAACCAACCAAGAGAUCAAGCUAUCUCUACAAUUCAGGUAACUUCUGAAGAACUGAAUAUUAUAAUUCAGAAUAUAAUGACCUGGGUUGUGGCUAAAGUGACUAGUAUAUUGUACCCAGCCAUCACAAAGUAUGAAGAAAGAUUGAGAAAUAAUACAUACCCAGCAUCUGAUAACUCCAUCCUCUCUUCAGAUAGUUCAAGUUUCUGUAGCACAUGCAGUGAAGACUUUACAUAUAGAACCUACAUAUCUUCAACAACUAAAACAUUUCAGGCAGAACCCUGUGCAUUUGCAGUGGACCUGUCAGUAAGACCAACCACACUGAUACAACUUUCUCCUGCACAUAAGGAAAGAACUGUUUUGGGGAAAACCUAUCAUGCAAAAGGACAAUCUAUAACCCGAACACUUAAAUAUAAUAAAAUCAAUGUGCUAUGAUCAUACCCUAAGCUCAGAAGUUGUAAAUCAGACAGUGAUCUUUUAGCAUCAUUUGAAACAAGCACAACAAAGUAUAAGGAUGCUACUACUCAAACAGAUAGCCUACGGAGUUCAUCGAUUUGUGAUAAAAAAGCAAAAGCCAUAGAUGAAAUGA
This 1046-nucleotide long non-coding RNA is filed under the name Aotus nancymaae (Ma's night monkey). RNAcentral's name for it is "lncRNA (ENSANAG00000038771.1)". Lineage: Eukaryota; Metazoa; Chordata; Mammalia; Primates; Aotidae. The record is from RNAcentral.